ACGUGACCACAGACAGCCAGACGGCUGAGAGCCUGAGACGGGCGACGACCGCACGCCCGCACAAGCUGCUCAGGGCUCCGCUGCUAUGCUAGGGUUUGGACUUUGGAUUGGAGCCACCCCGCCGCACCGGCACCGCAGCCGCCGCAGUGCCGCACAGCCGACACUCCCGUCUUGGUCUUGCGGCUAGUCGCCCUCAGGCCUCGGUCGUCGGCCCCUCGCCCGCUCACCGAGACGCCGAGUCGGCGUCGACCGUCGUCGCGUCUCGCCGAGUCGCUGUCGUCACCGAGGUCCAGCGCCCAGCGGCCCAGCUCCAAGCCUCCAGCCAUCGGCGCCUGCCCUCCUCCACCGAGACGCCGAGUGCCGAGCGCCGAGCGCCCAAGCACCCCAGUCCCCAGCGCCCAACAGGCUAGCAGGCUGCAGGUAUGCGCUCUUUGUUAAUGCGUCCAAGGAGUUGAGCUGAAUGCCCAGCAGGCUAGCAGGCUAGCAGGCUGCAGGUAUGCUUCUGUUCUGUCCAAACCUUCCUUCUAGCACUUAGGAAGUUGGGAACUUGCUUGUUGUAUCAGAUUUGGAUAUACUAUUAGCAUGUUAUUAGCAGUUUAGCUAUCUUAGACUACAGAUAUUGUGACUGCAUAAUCUAAAAUCCUUUUUGUUUAUUCUUUGCAGAAACUGAAGGAAAAGGUGGCAUUCAGGACCCGGUUGAGUUCUAUUUUAAAAUGAUCAACAGUAGGACUAUUGGUGGAAUUCAUAGACCUAAGCCUGAAGAUAAUAAGUAUACUGAAGAGGAACUUCUUCUGUUGAAAAAUAAAGAUAUGUGAUAUAUCCUUCAGAGCAUUCAAAGUGAAAAA
Zea mays is the source of this 845-nucleotide long non-coding RNA. RefSeq lists it as uncharacterized. NCBI's taxonomy places the organism in Eukaryota, Viridiplantae, Streptophyta, Magnoliopsida, Poales, Poaceae. The record is from RefSeq and is a predicted model, not a curated record. The transcript is spliced from 2 exons.